RNAcentral lists this ribosomal RNA (253 nucleotides) under uncultured bacterium. RNAcentral describes it as "partial 16S ribosomal RNA". It matches the Rfam family "Bacterial small subunit ribosomal RNA", at positions 524 to 776 of the family's 1533-position model. The record is from RNAcentral.
UACGGAGGGGGCUAGCGUUGUUCGGAAUUACUGGGCGUAAAGCGCACGUAGGCGGCUUUGUAAGUUAGAGGUGAAAGCCCGGGGCUCAACUCCGGAAUUGCCUUUAAGACUGCAUCGCUAGAAUUGUGGAGAGGUAAGUGGAAUUCCGAGUGUAGAGGUGAAAUUCGUAGAUAUUCGGAAGAACACCAGUGGCGAAGGCGGCCCGCUGGACAUGUAUUGACGCUGAGGUGCGAAAGCGUGGGGAGCAAACAGG